RNAcentral lists this long non-coding RNA (498 nucleotides) under Anser brachyrhynchus (Pink-footed goose). RNAcentral describes it as "lncRNA (ENSABRG00000015917.1)". The record is from RNAcentral. Lineage: Eukaryota; Metazoa; Chordata; Aves; Anseriformes; Anatidae.
GGGGUAUUAAAAAGACAGGCCAGAGUUUGAGAUCUACUGCCAACCUCCCUUGCAGAGUUAGGGAACAUUUUACUUGGAAAAAAAAGGUCUUCUCUUCCUGCAGAGAUCCACGGCUGUAUUCUCCUGCAGAGCCUGAGCCCUGCCUGGCAGAGUAGGCAAAAAUACAUCGAACUGCUGUACCCCAGUCUUGACUUCAUACCCAUCUGUGUGGCAUCGUUCAGGAUAUCCCAACGUCUGGCUUCCUCUUCCUUCAAAAAUCCUCUGAUACUUCACUUCAAAGACCCAUCAGCUGAAAUCAUGUUACAAGAUACUGGGAAUGUGCUGAAGCCCUGGCAAAGAAAUUGUAGAUUACAGGUGAACAAGCAGCUGACUGUGGCCAGAGGAAUAAAUCCCUGGACUUGGAGAGAGGGAAAGGCUUUACUGGGAGCGGCUGCUACCGUGUCCACUCUGAGGGGCCACACUUCAACAUGAAGUUAAAAAGGUUGGAGUUCAGAGAAG